RNAcentral lists this unclassified non-coding RNA (207 nucleotides) under Hevea brasiliensis (rubber tree). Lineage: Eukaryota; Viridiplantae; Streptophyta; Magnoliopsida; Malpighiales; Euphorbiaceae. The record is from RNAcentral.
AUCAGCUGCGUCAUUUGGGUUUCUUCUGGACAUCCUCACGCUAUUAACCUCAACAUCCUCAUCAUCCUCAAAAUCUUCUAUGUCAUCCACGGUCAAUUCCCGAGUUUGUGAGGACUCAAAAGACUCUGAUCUAGAUACAUUUGUUUCAGUUAGCGAAGGUGUGGGCAUAGGUGGUGGUGCAAUUACUGCUGGAGGUGUAUAGACAGG